Amphiprion ocellaris (clown anemonefish) is the source of this 3180-nucleotide long non-coding RNA. RefSeq lists it as uncharacterized. The record is from RefSeq and is a predicted model, not a curated record. The transcript is spliced from 3 exons. NCBI's taxonomy places the organism in Eukaryota, Metazoa, Chordata, Actinopteri, Pomacentridae.
AUCUCUGACUGAGGCUUUAGUUUUUGUUGAGCCGAUUUACACGUAGAAACUUUGUUCAGGAAGAUUUCUCAGUAGCUCAGAGGACAGGAUGCUUUUUACACAACCUUGUAAGAGAAUGUCUGUCAAUGCUUUCAGCAGAAUUUAGAAACACAACACUUCCUAAACAGAUAUUUUGAGGCUGUGAGGUUGAACGUUUGAGAGUCUAUCAGUGUGUUUGUUUGUGGUCUUUCUGUUUCUAGGUGGAAGCUGAAUUAGUGAGGAUGACUCCUGCUCCUGUCAUCUCUAAGCUCCUCCCACAUCUUUACCUGCACAUGAGGAAAAUCACUCCUGUAGAAUGCAGAUGUUCAGAGGGAGAUGAUGCCACAUCUGGUCCAGCUGAUGGAAGGUCUUGAAGUUCUCUGACUGGCCUCGACUGAAGAUGGUCGUCUCACUGGAUUUAAGGUUCAGAUGCUCAGUAACAAACUCCACCAAUGAGCCAACAGGGAAGUUUUAGGUUUAUUAAAUGUUGCUAUGAAGGUUUCGCUGUUUUUCUUUGUGAAUGCAAUGAGCUCCAACUGAAACUUGAAUUAGAACUUAGAAGUAAAUCCUUCCAUCUGAAAGCAUUUAGUUGCAUUAAUAACCUCACAACAUUCUUAUUUUUAUUCCAGUCUUGGUUGGAAAUAGAAUUUCUGUUUUGAUUCAGGUAAAAACUGAACUUCACAGCAUGUUGGAGCAAAACAACCAGAUAAAAACUGUGAUGGUGUUGGAUUGUCAGACUGUAAUGUUGCAGCUCAAAGCAGCUUUUCUAUCUCAGUUCAUUCUGACAUUCAGCUAUGAAUCAACACAGCAGAUGGUGAUCCAUGCUGUGGAAAUCUCACAUCUCCUGAUUUAAUGGAGCUGCUUUGCACUUUUUACACUGUUUAUUCACCAACACUUUAUUUAAUAAAAGUCCCAUCUAGUUUUCAUGAGGAAUAUGAUAUUUUAAUUUCUCUGUGAAUAACUGCAGUCUAAUGCAACAGCUGAAACUGUAACAUCUGUCCUGAUAUUGAUCAUGAAGUAUUGAUCAGAAUACUUAUGGUUAGCAGUCAUCCCUGAAGUUUUACAUUCAAAUCUUUACUUGUGUUGUGAACUUUGGUAAGAAGCAGAAACUUUAGCGUUGCCAUGGAUACGUGAGUGUUAAAUUCUGUCCAUGUUUCCAUUUUGGGAAAUUCAGUCCAGCAGAUGAGUUUGUUUUUACUGCCAGCUACCAUUCAGUCUGAGAUAUUAAGAAUAAAUAAAUGUGCAUAAUGUGGAAAUGAACAGAUUUUAUUUUUAUUUAUUCCUACAGCUACUGCAUGUAAAGUUCCAGAAUGUGGAGGAAUUUAGUCUCAUAAUCACAGACAAUAAAUAUUAUCUGAAAGUCGGGUUAUUGUUGUUUAUCAGCACAAUACAAAAAGAUUAAUGUUAGAAAUAUUCCAGUUAAGACUCUAGAAUAUCAUGAUUUAUGUAAAUUUACCUCAAUAAUAUGAAUGUUCAGGUUAAGAUUGUGCAGUGAUAUUUAUUAUGUAAGUUUAGCUGAUUAAAGUUUAUGACUUUGCACUAAAAUAUUAUUUGACAUCAUUAUUAUAAUAUUUAGGGUCAGACUCUACAGUAUUAAGAUUAAGAAAUCAAAUAUUCUAUAAAAUGUAAAUACACUGAACUCAUUUGGAUAUAUUUAAGUGAGAAUCUAAAAUAUUAUCUGACACAAAUCUAUCUAAAUCAAAAUUGUCAUCAUUUUUACUCCAAACAUUUACUGGACUGAUUUAAACAUUAAAAUCACUCCUUUCUAAUCCUCUGCUGUACGUUCAAACCUGAGGCCUUAAGUAGAAACACACAAGUAUCUGAUUGAAGGAACUUCUGCAGAGUCCUGGUUCCAGAACAUGAUGAUAGAAUUAUAGACAAACUUUAACAAAAGCUGCCUGAGAGUUUACAGGUUUUUAUGUUGGAUUUCUUAAGUAAUUUAAUGAGUUAUCAGGAAAAAUCAAGUGUUCAUUUGAUGAACUUCAUUUCCUAAAACAUCCCGAAUUGGAGCUCAUAUCUUUGGCAGCUGUAAAGUUUCUGCUCCUUCAAAGUUCACAACACAAUGAAUGAAUUCCUAAAACACUCUCAAUGCUGGAGAGCGUUUGUGAUGCUGAAGCAGUGAUCAGUUUUUCUGUUUCUUCUCUGGAGAUGCACAAUGAGGGACGUCUGCAGAGACUGAGAAAGAGCCUCACCACAUCCUGACAUGAGGAAAAAGACUUUACUGAAGACUACAAUGAGAAAAACUAUCAGACAGCAGACGGCUGCAUUCAAGUCUGUAGCUGCUGAAUUCAUGGAUGAAUCAUCUGGCACUAGAGAGGAAGACCAUCAAACAUCCACGUCAGCUGAUGGAGGUCCAAGAGUCUCACCCAACAACCAACCUACAGAGUGAAGACCUCAAAUCUGAUUGGACGGCCUCCUAUUCAGCCACAGUGUGAACAAAUGCCUCUAAGCUGAUUUGUUUUCUAAAAUAAAUCUAGUUUGAGUCCUAAUCUAUGCCUGUGUGUUUGUUUCUUUACACUGCUGUUAACAGUUUAGGCUGUUAGAUUGUUCCAGAUAAGACAAGUACAAGAUUCUUCAGAGCCGUUCUACCAUGAGCCUGACAGGAAGAACUCCAACAGCUACUGAAUGUUACUGUGGUUCCCUCAAGGCUACAGGAGGAGUCCUACGAGGACGAGCUGGUCCACCUGAUGGCGGCCAGUCACUGUGGUUCAAAGCCAACACCGACUACAUGGACUUCUACUGGACCACACGGAGGCCUUCAAACCGGACCAACAAGUUCACCGACUCCCCGACUCGUGGGUCUGAGGACGCCGCCGAGCCUCGGCUCAGCCGGCCUCCUGUCUGUGGGUGUUUGAGUGCUGAGAGGUUUGUGGAUGCAUGUGAACGUUCUGUGUUGAAACAGCAGCUUUGGACUCAGUAACGCUGGGAAAAACCAAGAGCUCCUUUAUUUGUGACUUCCACUUAAAAAAACUGAUGAAAAUAAGUUUGUCAGGGUUCUGACUGAUAACAGAUUAUUAGAUAAUGAAAAUAAUCAUUUAAAUAUUCCUUUAAACAAUCCUUUCAGGUCUACAUUUCCUUUACACUGACUUCUUAGUAUAUGUACAAGUAUUUUGGGUGGAAUAUACCAUUAAGCCCAAUGUUCAAUGGUUCUUCUGGGAAUAU